UAAAGAUUCAUCGCUGAUAGAUAGGCAUGCGUUCCAUUAGGCAGUUGGCGGGGUAACGGCCCACCAAACCGACGAUGGAUAGGGGUUCUGAGAGGAAGGUCCCCCACAUUGGUACUGAGACACGGACCAAACUCCUACGGGAGGCAGCAGUGAGGAAUAUUGGUCAAUGGGCGUAAGCCUGAACCAGCCAAGUCGCGUGAGGGAUGAAGGUUCUAUGGAUCGUAAACCUCUUUUAUAAGGGAAUAAAGUGUGGGACGUGUCCUGUUUUGUAUGUACCUUAUGAAUAAGGAUCGGCUAACUCCGUGCCAGCAGCCGCGGUAAUACGGAGGAUCCGAGCGUUAUCCGGAUUUAUUGGGUUUAAAGGGUGCGUAGGCGGCCUUUUAAGUCAGCGGUGAAAGUCUGUGGCUCAACCAUAGAAUUGCCGUUGAAACUGGGAGGCUUGAGUAUGUUUGAGGCAGGCGGAAUGCGUGGUGUAGCGGUGAAAUGCUUAGAUAUCACGCAGAACCCCGAUUGCGAAGGCAGCCUGCCAAGCCAUGACUGACGCUGAUGCGCGAAAGCGUGGGGAUCAAACAGGAUUAGAUACCCUGGUAGUCCACGCAGUAAACGAUGAUCACUAGCUGUUUGCGAUACAGUGUAA
Molecule: ribosomal RNA, 637 nt
Filed under: uncultured bacterium
Lineage: Bacteria
Description: bacterial SSU rRNA
Rfam family: Bacterial small subunit ribosomal RNA
Source: RNAcentral